UUGCAAACAAGAUCACUAGCACAGCAUGUUGUUGCUGGAGCAAGGGGAACAUGUUUGCUAUAAUAAACCUGGUUCUGGGAGUGCCCGAUCCUCAGUUAUGUGACUGAUCACUGCUUCUAUGCCAGCACACAC
Molecule: small nucleolar RNA, 132 nt
Organism: Pseudophryne corroboree (corroboree frog)
Lineage: Eukaryota; Metazoa; Chordata; Amphibia; Anura; Myobatrachidae
Source: RefSeq, a predicted model, not a curated record